RNAcentral lists this unclassified non-coding RNA (301 nucleotides) under plant metagenome. RNAcentral's name for it is "partial contains small subunit ribosomal RNA, internal transcribed spacer 1, and 5.8S ribosomal RNA". The record is from RNAcentral.
UUUCCGUAGGUGAACCUGCGGAAGGAUCAUUAUUGAAACUUGAAUCGUAGCAUUGAGAACUGUUGCUGACCUGUUAAAGGGUAUGUGCACGUUCGACGUGUUGCGUUCUACUCAUCCACCUGUGCACCUUUGUAGACUUGAUUAACUUUCGCUUUCCAGCGGUUAGAAGGGCUGCUUUCGAGCUCCCUUUGUCUAUCAAGUCUAUGUCUAUAUAAUCUCUUGUAUGUCUAGAAUGUCUUGUUUAUGGGACGCAAGUCCUUUAAAUCUUAUACAACUUUCAACAACGGAUCUCUUGGCUCUC